This 42783-nucleotide long non-coding RNA is filed under the name Citrus maxima (pomelo). RNAcentral's name for it is "long non-coding RNA (CMAX_LNC001490)". The stretch from base 35167 to 35270 matches the Rfam family "Plant small nucleolar RNA R71". Lineage: Eukaryota; Viridiplantae; Streptophyta; Magnoliopsida; Sapindales; Rutaceae. The record is from RNAcentral.
GUGAGUAUGGAGCCAUCAGAAUGAGGCUUAAAGCCGAGAACUUACUCUGGUUGCGGACAAGGAGGAUAAUAAUUCAUCCUUAAUGAUUGCAUCCCGUUUUCAAACAGCUCUUUCAUGUCAUUGGGAUCCAUUCUUAGAGCUUUAGCCAUUAGGUCAAGGAUUUUCAAGGUAAGAUUUUUAAGUUCCGUUAAGUAAACUUCCAAGUCAUCUCCGCAUGCAAAUAAUAAUAUAUAGUCCAGUAAUUAUCAUAAGAUAGAAUAUACUAUAUAAGAAAAGUCUAAAAUUUAAGUAUAGAACCUGAAUGGAAGAGGCAACUUGGGGAACAAGUGGGGUUUCCUCAGAUGGGUUGGGAGAGUGAACAUAGUAAAGCCGUAUCCCCAAUCAAGCUUCUGCUCUUCAGACGUAAUAAAAAGCUGCCCAAAUCCCUCAACAUCUCCUGGCUGCUGCCAAAACUUCUUUUUCUCAUCAAUUGGAAGAUUAAAGAAUUCUUGAAUCUCUGCUUUCACUUUCUCCACCAAUGAACUGCUCACUCCAUGAUUCAUCAACCGCAUAUAUGCAAAUUAAAGCAAGAUGUUCUUUCCAUAUAUACAUGGUUCAUAAAGGAAAUUUUGAAGUUCUGGAAACAAAAUGAUUUUUAUGGAAAAUGCUAAAGAAACGGAGAGCUGAUAAAAUGCUGACAAAAACAACGAUAAAUUAGUCUGUUUAAUGGGUUUACAAUCAAGUGACUAAUCCGGUACUGAUUUACUUUGUUUUUUGUAAACGUUUUGUCUAAUUUUUAUUAUCUGAAUAUCACUGCUAAAUUGUUAUGUACCUGAAAGAAACCCCAGUCUUUACAUGCAUGGUUCAUAUAGGGAACUUAAAGCUCAGGAAGUAAAAUUAUUUUUAUGGAAAAUGUAAAAACACUGAGACCUGAAAAAACGCUAACAAAAGCAAUGAUUUGCAAUCAAUUAAGUAUUUUUAUUAUAUGAAUAUCACUGCUCAAUUAUUAUGUACCUGAAAGAAACCCCACUCUUUACAUGCAUGGUCAAGCUUCUCAAGCUCUGAGUCAUCCCCAGAGAGCAACGUGUGCAUGUCAAUGACUGGAAGUUGUUGUGCUGAAGAAUCGUCGUUGCGAAUCAAGGGAUGGUCUAUCUCAGGGAGAACAUAACGUGGCGGAACAGUUGUCAGUGGCAGAUUAUUUGCCAGCUCCAGAAUCGAAGGCUCCACGAGAGAAUUCCCAAUAACUGUUGCUUUUGCCUCCAUGUUAUAUAGAUUUAGAUUAACUGAUUUCUAGCUAUUACCUUUUUGUUUUCUUCUACUCUUCUGCAGACUUAGCUAGUAUGUGUUUUGACAAGAAACUCAUAUAUAAAUAGUCCUCUAGAUGUACUGUACUGUAACUGGGUGCAGUGAAAUAUUAAUUUUAUCAUGAAAAUUCGAGAGAAUUUUGACUUUUAUUAAAGGACACAAAUCAGUGCAACAUUAACACGAUAAAAUUAAUUUUAUAAUGGAAUUAUUUACACUCUACAUUUAAUUUUGAAUAUCAUUUGAUUUUUUACACUCUAAAUUUAAUUUUGAAUAUCAUUUGAUUUUUUACACUCAGUUAAUAAAUUUUAAAAAUUAAUUUUUAUUCUAUACGUUCUUUUAUAUACCAAAACAGUCUUUUAUUUAUAUAUGAUUAUUAUCUCACCCAAUUUAAUUCUUUAUCAAAGAACUUCAUUCUAAAUAAGUCUAUUAUUGUUAACAAGAUAUUUAAGUCUCUGUUUAACAAAAUAUCACUGUGAUGUCUUUAAAUGAAAUAAUAUAUAUAUAUAUUUUUUUUUAAAAGAGAAUUUUCUCUUAUCUUUACUAGAGAGUUAUAUAUUAGAAUCCAAUUCAUGUUCUUCAUUGAUAAUCUUCAAGCAAUAGUAAUAAGCAACUGAUUUGUUUUUCUUUUUCAUUUUUUUUAAUCGGAACUUACAGUUUUAUUUUUUAUUUUUUAAAACAAAAUAAUGUUACUCGUAAAUUUCUAUUUUUUUUUUUAUUCAGCUUCUAUAGUUGGUAGCUUGUUGGGUAUUUAUGAAACUUCUAAUAUUUUAUGAGGUGUAACUGUAAUUGGAUUACUGGGUUGAGCGUGUGUUAGAUGGUGUUAAGAGUAAUAAUAUUCUAUUAACUUGAAUUGACUUGUUCUUAUUAGUAAAUUAUAUUAGGGUAACUUUUGCAAUAAUAUUUUUAUUAAAAAUUAAAGUGUUGAGAAUAAAAUUUAAAGUAUAGUGUUUAAAUUUCAUUUGUCACUGUCAACGCUCCUCUAACUAAAGCUCAGAUGAGAUCAGAAUGCGAAAGGAUUGUUAUCGACUUCGUUAGUAUUCGUAUCCACUUAGUAUUCGUAUCUUUUGCAAUAACGUUCCACCCAUAAUGUUUUGUUCAUUGAACAAUAACACUAUGGCAGACCAAAAUGGUAUGUACUGUUUGUUUGCACGCAGUACUAUCACUUCAGUCAUAUCUUAAUGUCACUAUAGUGUUUAAAUAUCAUUUGUCUCUGUCAACGCUCCCCUAACUAAAGCUCAGAUAAGAUCAGAAUGCCAAAGGAUUGUUAUCGACUUGGUUAGUAUUCGUAUCCAUCUCUUCUCGCAUUUGCGUGAUUAAUUUUUGAAUUGGUACUAAUACGACUAAAUUGGCAUUUUGAAUGAUGAAACCAGGCUGGCCACACAAAAUUGUGUACCCUAAUUAUUGAAUUGAGCAUACAGUAGUAAAAUAGAUACAGACAGGCAUACAACAAUGACAAAAUGGACAACUAUCGCUAUCAAGUUCACGUCCCCAAUCUUGAAAUUACGAAAUUUUUGGGAUUUUUUUUUUGUUGAUCGGUCCUUGUCGUUGGUAGAAAUUACGAAAUUUAAGGGGCACCCUGACUUUUUAAAAUAAUUUACAUUUGUUUUUGUUUCAUCUUGACUAAGGACUCAUUUAAGAUUUACUAUUGAGACUCUAAAGUCACUUAUAAAAGUUAAAAUUUAAUUUUGAUAAUUUUUUUAAAUCAAAAUUUUAAUUUUGAUAAUUUUUUAACUCAAAAAUUUAAUUUUGAUAAUUUUUUUUUUAAAUCACCACAAAUUUUGAAUUUAAGAAUCAAUUUUAUACUUAACAUAAUUUCGCAUAUAUUGUUACACAUUUUCAUAAAACAAAAUUAUUUUUAAUUAGUUAACAAAUAAAAUUAGAAAAUUUAAGAUCGUUAUUAUUUUGAUUUUCUUUUUUUUUUCUUCGUGCACGCUCUUUACCCCAAUUCUUCUUCUUUCUAUUUUCCAUUCCAUCAAGAAUUCUGUAAUAAUGUAAAUAUUAUUGUUUCAAGAUCAACACUUAGGUUAAUAUGUGUUUUUAAAUAUUUAAUAAAAUUUAAGGUGAAUUAUAUACGCACAUUCCAAUCUAAAACAUGGAUUUAUUAAAGUUCGGAAAAGUUAUCAAGCCAUAUAGCUUAAUAGCUUUUUGGACUUCAAUAAUGUGUGAUAAUUAGUUAUAUGAGAAUCCUAUUACUCUAUUACUUCUUUCCCUCUGCCACUUGUACCAGAAUUUUCUAAUAGAGACUGCUUAUUGCACCUAAAUGACUAACUGGUGCUGACUUAAUAAUAUAUGCCCCGUUUGGAAUUGAGGUUGAAACUCAAUAAGCAACUUAUUUUGUAAUUUGUGACAAAAAUAAUGUUUGGUAAAUUUUGUAAAAGUUGCUUAUUUAAUCAUUUUCUCCAUUUUGACAACAACUUUUAAAAGUAAGUAGAGAGUUACUUUUCAUAAGCAGCUUAUUAAAUAAACUAUCAUACCUUUUUAAAGUUCCUAUUAUAGCCUUAAUAUUUUAAUUAAAAAAAUAAUUGUCUUACUUUCUCAUACACCAUAAUAUUAAACCAUUAGAUAUCACAUUACCACCACAAUCAAAUUACCGACACAACUAUUAUAUAUUCUCUCUAGUAUUAAAGUUUUGACCUAGUAAGUUUGUAUUUUUUUUUAUAUUUUACUUUUAUUUUCUAUUAUAAGAUUAAAAAACGUAUGUAUAUAAUUAUGCAAAUUAUUUUUUUUAACUUUGAACAAUUUCACAUGAAAAUUAACCAUAACUUUUAAAAUUAAUUUUAUAACCAUGGUUUUUAAUAUUCAAUCUCUCUCUCUCUCUCUCUCUCUCUCUCUCUCUCUCUCUCUCUCUCUCUCUCUCUCUAUAUAUAUAUAUAUAUAUAUAUAUAUAUAUAUAUAUAUAUAUUAUAGUUAUGGUGUUUAUUGCAUCAAGUUUAAUACGAAUGUAAUACAUACUACUUUUUUAUUUUAUCUUAGUUAUGUAUUAGUAUGAAUUUUAAUCAUAUUUUUUAUAUAACAAAUUUAUAGAGUUCUUUUUUCACUUUAUGCAAUUUUACUUGUUUUAAAGAGAAAAAGGCAUGUCUAAACAUUAUUAAAUAUACUUAAAAAAGAAGAAGAUAAUUUAAAGUUAUAUCUAUUUUCACAACAAGAAAACAGGUAAUAGAUGACGGGAAAUAACUAUUGUAAAAGGGAGUGCAUGACAGACAGUUCAUCUGUCAUCUAUUUCACUGUCAUUAAUUUAUGACAAAAUAUUUUCCAUCAUGAAUUCAUGAUAGUAUUUUACAGUUAUAUAUACGUCACACAAUAUCUUAAUGUGAAAAAUAAUUAAAUUAAAAUUUGAAUUUAUAUAUAUUUUUGCGCUAUUUUUUUAAAUUUUUGGUGGGAAAUUAAAUUAUCAUUUGUAAAUUUAUUAUUGAAUUUUGGCUCAAAAUGUUUUAUGACAAACAUUAUGAUCAUUAUUUCCCAUCAUAAAGUCAAUUUUUUUUAAAAAAAAUUCUAUUGUGAUUAUAAUUUAUUUGUGAAUUCCUGAUUACAAAUUUAAUUAACUAAUAAAAAUGAAUAUCAUCAAAAAAACUAAAAGUAAUUAAUAUUAAUUAACCUCCAUUCAAUCCAACAAAUUAAUUUCAAAACAAAUACAUCUAGUAUUCAAUGUCGUCACCACCAAUACAUAAUAAAACAUCCCAAAUAUAAAAAAAUCUAAAAUAUAAAACAAUAGUUAAAUCCCAAUUAAACUCUAAGAAAAGCAAUUCAAAUUCUAGCCAUCAAGCCAAGUUACCCAACAAAACUUCGAAAGAUUAAUGGAAAUAUUCUAACAGUAAGACUUCCAAUAGAGAUACCAUCUUCCAGCGGCAAUAGAUAAGAAAUUUUACUACAUAUUAAGUAUUUAACAUACAUUCAAUUUGAAUUUAAAAAAAAAAUCUUUUAUUAAUAGAUAACAACUUUUUUUAUGUAUAAAUAUUAUGCUAAAUUGUAAAAAUUAAUGUUACCAAAAUUAUUUUUCAUAAAUUAUAUAUCAAUUAUUUUUCUUGUAAAUAUUUAUAACAUAUAAAAACUAUUGUACUAGAAAACACUAUGAAUACAUAUCUAUUUAAGCUAGUCAUAAGUGUAAAAAUACAAACAACUUACCACUUACACUCAGAUGCCAAAAAAUAAAAACCAAACAUAUUAUUCUAUCUUAAGCAUUCAAAGCCAUUCAAACUUCAGUAACAUUCAAACCUAUUUCAAAUUUAAAAUAAAAAGACAAACCAUGACUUAAUAUGGGGCUAUUUGAAAUCUAGAUUUUACAGUAUCACUUUAUUCUAUACACUCGUUCUCUCAUUUAAUAAAUUUAAAAAAUUGAUUUUAUUGAGCACAUUCUUUUAAAUACCAAAAUAGUCCUCCAUUUAUAUCUUACGUCUCACCCAAUUUAAUUCUUUGUUGACUAAAGAACUUUUUUCUAUGUAAUUCUAUUAUUGUUAAUGAUAUUCAAAUCUCUUGAAAAAAAAAAAUGACCCUCAUCUCUUUGAAUGAAAUAAACUUCCGUCAAAAGAGAAAUGUCUCUUAAUUUUACCAGAGAGUUAUAGACUGGAGUCAAGUUUGUAUUUCCAAUUGAUAAUUUUGAAGCAGCAGCAAUAUGCAGCUGAUUUCUUAUUAUUUUUCCUUUUUCUUUUUGGGGUUUUGCAACGUACAGUUUUAUUUUUAAUUUUUUAAAUCAAAAUAAUGUUUCUCAUUUUUUCGCAUAAAUAAAAAUUGUUUUUCAAUUGCUGUUGUUGGUAGCAUGUUGGUUAUUUAUUAAACCCUUAAUAUUUUCUUUUACGAAUGAUAAAUUAGAUUUAUUGUUAAAGAAAGUUACAGGGUUUUGUAAUUGGAUUAUUGAAUUGAAUGUGCGUUCAAUGGUGUGAAGAGUAAUCAUAUUCCAUUAACUUAAAUUGAAUUGUCUUUAUUAGUAAAUGAUAUUGGAGGAGUUUUUGUAAUAAUAUUUUUAUUAAAAAUUACAGUCUUUAAAAUAAAAUUUAGGGUACAAACAACAUCACUCUAUAAUAUUAUUAUUCAAUAAAUCAUAAUUUUGCGGCACACUAAAAUGAUGCGGAUCAUUUACGCAACCUACCAUCACUUGUAUUAUAUCCUAAUGCCAUUAUAGUGUUCAAAUAUCAUUUGUCUAUCCCAAACGUUCGUUCAAUUAAAGCUAAGGUAAGCUAAGAUUUCACAGUAGAAUAGUAUUCUUAUCCAUGUAGUGUCACAUUGUGUGCUUUAUCUUUAGAUUGGUACUAAUCCCACAAAACUGGCAUUUUGAAAUAUAAAACCAGGCUGACCACACAAACUUGUGUACACAAUUUUUUGUUUUUUUUUUCAAGUGUUACGUCGUAAAAUCGUAAAUUAAAUAUAGACAAAUAUACAACAAUGACAAUGCCUGUCAAGUUCGCGUGCCCAAUCAUAGAAGUUACGAAACUAUUGGGAUAUUUCAUAGUUGAUCGGUCCGCAUCGUUGGUAGAAAUCACGAAUUUUAGAAGGGGACCGUGACUUUUUAAACUGCAUUAUAAUUUAAGUCCUUUAAAUUUAAAUUCAUUUUCGUUUUAUCCUGGUAAUUGAAUAAGGGCUCAUUUAAGAUUACUAUUUUACUCAAAAGUAAUUUUAAAAUAUUAAAAUUUAAUUUUGUUUGGUAAUUUUCUUAAAAUUAUUGAUAACUUUAAUUUUGAGAACAAAUUUUAUACUUAAAUAAUUUUAAAUAUAUUAUUACAUAAAACAAAAAUUAUCCUUAAUUAAUUAAGAAAUAAAAUAAAAAAAAUUCAAGACCACUAUUAUUUUUAUUCGUUUUUUUUUCUUUAUGCACGAUCUCUACCCCAAUUCUUCUUCUUUUGUUUUUAUAUUCCAUCAAUAAUUCUCCAAUACUGCAAAUAUCAUUGCUGCAAGAUCAACACUUAGGUGGCGUUUGUUUUUUUGUCUGAAAUCUGAAUAGAUCUGAAUUAGUCUGAAUGUCUGAAUAUGAAUAAUAUGUUUGUUUUUUUGUCUGAAUCUCAAAAAAUAAGUAUUAAGUUGUUUGUUUUUUUCAACUUAAAAAGCUGAAAAUAUGUACUUUUACAUUUGUAUCCUUAUUAAAUUUGAAUGUCAAAUAAAUAAUAUAUUAAAUACCACAAUAUUUUAACAUUUAUAAGUAAAACUAUAUUCAAGUGAAUACAUAAUUAUUUUAGAAUUUUAAUAUAUAAAAUACCAUAAAUUUCAAAUUUUAUCGUAUAUAAUAUAAGAAAGAAAAAACAGAGAUAUUUUUAUGUGGGGUAAAUAUCUAUGGGUGAGUUUUGGGAUAGACGUGAAAAAUAAAUUAUAAAACAAGGAUAUUUUUUACAUUAGCAAGUAAUUGACUUAAUUCAAAUUUCUCCAUUAAGUAAAAACCCAAAAAAAUUAGCUUAUUUUAUUAAGUCAAAAUUAUCUAAAAAGUCUCAUUAAGUUAUAAAAACAAACACAUCUAAUUAACUUAAUUAAUUAAGUUAAGUCACUUUAAGUCAUUAAGUUAAAAAACAAACGCCACCUUAGUAUAUGUUUCACGACUUUAUUUUUUAAUUUAUCAAUAUUCAAUAAAAUUUAUUCUCAGGUGCAGACGCCCGCAUUUUUAUUAAUGCGGCCACAAUUUUAAACUGUGUGAUUUAAAAAAAAAAUAGUUUGUGAAUGAACUAUAAAACUGUGAGUUUUAAAAGAUUUAAAAACUAAUUCUUUUAAACCCUGUGGUUUUAAAGUGUAUCCGCAUGGAAAUUUCAUAAGACUUGGUGCUAGACCCAAUUCUCCAUCUAAUUUUAGGUUGUAAAAUGUAGUGAAAGAUAACCUUUCCUUCAUUAAGUUUACAGUCACACGAUGUUCAAUAUCACGAUAAGUUCCAUUGCUAAAAAUCUACAGGAUCAUAAAUUGAACCUAAAAAAAAAAAAAGUUAGAGAGUAUAAUCAAGAGGAGGAAAAAAUUAGAUGAAACUAGUCAUCAACUACAUAUCCUAUGCUAACAGCUUAGUUUUUAUUGCAAGCGACGUGUCACCAAUUAUUUCUUAUUAUAGAUUUGCUGUUAGUAGACUUUAUUUUCUAUUAUUAAUACAAAUUAUACAAAGAUUCUACUCUACUUACCAAUAAAAGACAUGUUAGAUGUCACUUAACAUUACUAGAGAUAGAAACUAUGUAGAGACAUAGCGUUACUUAUAAUAGGCUAUAGAAAAUGACCAGUGUUACCUCUAAAACGUCACCAAUGUUGAAUAUAAAGGCAUCAGGAAGGGGUUUAACAGCAACCCAUUUUCCAUCUUUCUUAAUUUGGAGAUCAUCCAUCUCAUUGAUUUGGAGGAGGAUGGUGAGUACGGAGCCAUCAGAAUGAGGCUUAAAGCCAGGAACUUGCUCUGGUUGCGGACAAGGAGGAUAAUAAUUCAUCCUUAAUGAUUGCAUCCCGUUUUCAGACAACUCUAUCAUGUCAUUGGGAUCCAUUCUUAGAGCUUUAGCCAUUAGGUCAAGGAUUUUCAAGGUAAGAUUUUUAAGUUCCGUUAAGUAAACUUCCAAGUCAUCUCUGCAUGCAAAUAACGAUAUAUAGUCCAGUAAUUAUCAUAUGAUAGAAUAUACUAUGUAGCAAAACUCUACGAUUUAAAUAUAGAACCUGAAUGGGAGAGGCAACUUGGGGAACAAGUGGGGUUUCCUCAGAUGGGUUGGGAGAGUGAACAUAGUAAAGCCGUAUCCCCAAUCAAGCUUCUGCUCCUCAGACGUAAUAAAAAGCUGCCCAAAUCCCUCAAUAUCCCCUGGCUGCUGCCAAAAUUUCUUUUUCUCAUCAAUUGGAAGAUUAAAGAAGUCUUGAAUCCUUCUUUCACUUUCUCCACCAAUGAACUGCUCACUCCAUGAUUCAUCAACUGCAUAUAUGCAGAUUAAAACAAGCUGUUCUUUCCAUACAUGGUUCUUAUAGGAAACUUAAAGCUCAGGAAAUAAAAUGAUUUUUAUGGAAAAUGCUAAAAACACCGAGAGCCGAAAGAACGCUAACAAAAGCAAUGAUUCAAGUAUUUUUAUUAUCUGAAUAUCACUGCUCAAUUAUUAUGUACCUGAAAGAAACCCCAGUCUUUACAUGCAUGCUCAAGCUUCUCAAGCUCUGAGUCAUCCCCAGAGAGCAGCCUGUGCAUGUCAAUGACUGGAAGUUGUCGUGUUGAAGAAUCGUCGUUGCGAAUCAGGGGAUGGUCUAUCUCAGCGCGAACAUAACGUGGAGGAACUGUGAUCAGUGGCUGAUUAUUUGCCAGCUCCAGAAUCGAAGGCUCCACCAGAGAACUCCCAAUAACUGUUGCUUUGGUCCCCAUAUUAUAUAGAUUUAGAUUAACUGAUUUCUAGCUAUUACCUUUUUGUUUCUUUUCUCUGCUGUAGACUCAGCUGGUCUGUGUUUUAACGAGAAAUUCAUGUAUAAAUAAUCCUCAGGAUGUACUGUACUGUAAUUGUGUGCUUUAAAAUAUCAAUUUUAAUAUGAAAAUUCGAGAGAAUUUUGACUUUUAUAAGGACACUGAUUAGUGCAACAUUAAGACGAUAAAGAUAAUCUUAGAAUGAAUUAUUUGCACUCUACAUUUAAUUUUGAAUAUCAUUUGAUUUUUACACUCAUUUAAUAAAUUUUAAAAUUAAUUUUUAUUCUAUACUCUUUUAUGUAUCAAAACAGUCUUUUGUUUAUAUCUUAUUAUAUCUCACCCAAUUUAAUUCUUUAUCACAGAACUUCAUUCUAUAUAAUUCUAUUUUUGUUAAAGUGAUAUUUAAGCCUCUCUUUAACAAAAUAUCACUAUGAUACCUUUAAAUGAAAUAGUAUUUUUUUUAAAAAGAGAAUUUUCUCUUAUCUUUACUAGAGAGUUAUGUGCUAGAAUCCAAUUCAUGCUCUUAAUUGAUAAUCUUCAAGCAAUAGAAUAUGCAACUGAUUUGUUUUUAUUUUUCAUUUUUUCAAUUGGGAACUUACAGUCUUAUUUUUUAUUUUCAAAACCAAACAAUGUUACUCGUAAAUUUUUUUUAUCCAGUUUCUAGAGUUGGUAGCUUGUUGGGUAUUUAUGAAACCUUUAAUAUUUUAUGAGGUGUAACAGUAAUAGGAUUAAUAUUUUCACUUCCUUUCUUCACCCUACAAACAGCAAAGUAUGCAAUGAAUGUUUAAAGUUAACAAUCUGUAAAGUCUGGUCUAAACUUUGCUCUAAUUAAAUAUCAUAAUAAAUUAUAAAGAGAGGUUAGAUUAGAAGAUCUCCAACAGCUAGAUUCAAAGAGAUUCUUCAUUACAUUAUUUUAUAAUCAUUUUUUCGAAAAUGUCAUUCCUGUUAUAACAGAGGUAGAGAAACAAAUUGAGAGGGCCUUUCAAUUCCAUUUUCAAGGCGAAAAAUGCAAUGUUAUGUUUCGUUUCUUUUGUUAAUCUAAUCCACUUUCUAUCAAGCAUUUAUUAUUAUUUUUAUUUUUUUGGCUUUUGUUGAGUGUUUUUGUUCUACGAUGGCAAUUUGGGAGAUUAUAAUUGAGAAACAUUUUUAAUAUUUGAAAGAAACCCACGGCUGCACUGAUAAUGAACCCACAGAGAUUAUCAAAGAGUCCCUUUUCGUUUUUAAAGCAGAUUUUUAAAGUUUUAUACGGUGGAGUGUAUGAGAAGAGGAUAAAAAUUGUCAUAAGAGUAAAGUGAGGAUUAGACGGGAUAAAUUGAGUGAUAAAAAAAUUAUUUAAAAAUUUUUAGUGGGGUGUAUUGAGAAGUGGAGGAUGAUGUGGAGAAAUGAGAGUGAAAUAUCCACUAUAACUAUGCUUCAUGAGUAACGAAAUGUUAUAUUCAUUUAGUUAGGAUUCUUAAUUGGUGUACUAAUUAAUGUGUCACCAAUAUAAAUUUAUCAUUUAGAUAUGAAAUGAUAAGACUGAGUAGUUAAGUUCACUUGAACCAAUCAAAUAAUACAACAUAAUCACUUACACAUCUGUUGGUAUACAUAUUAAAUAUCUCAACGAAGUAAAAUUAUUAUUAUAGCAAAUAGAUCUUAAAUAUUAGAAGAAGCUUAUAAUGAAACUGACUCUGAGCCCACUGUCACCUAACCCGUGCAUCCCAGCUACUCUUACGCCUGUAAAUAUUACAAUACUUGGGUUGGGUUGUGCAAUAAUGAAAUUGAUUUUGAUCAAUCACCAUAAAUAGCUGAUUGUAAAUAUUGUGUAAUUAGUUUGAAGUGUGUCACAACAGAAUUAAUGUAGGUUGAUCUCAAUAAAAAUUUAAUUGUAAAUAUAUGAGUGGUGCUCUAAUUAUGAUGUAUAUAUCAAAUGAUAUAAGUAGAGGUCUGAUUGUAAUACUUUCAACGUGAUAUUUAAUUUGACUUGGUUCAACUAUAGCCUUUUCGCUUUCAAUCGAAAACAAAAUAUAAUAAACCCUAAUGUUGUGUUUACUUGCUGGAGUGGGAGUGAGGAGUGUGGAUUCCUCCCACUCCAGCGUUUACUUACUUAAAAUGGAGAGGGAUUGGGAGUCCAACUCCGUGGGCCCCACCCACUUUUGGAGUGGGGAGUGGGAGUGGGAAUCCACUCCCACCUCUCCAAUUUCUACCUUUUUUUUUUAUUUUAUGUUUUAUAAUUAAUAAAAUAAAAUAAAUAAUAUUAUAUUUAUUUAAAUAAUAAUAUUAUAUUUAACUAAAUAAUAAUUUACAUUGAUUCUAAGUUAAAAUUAUUUUAAAAUAAUAUUAUUAUAUUAAUAGAGAAUUAAUAAAUAUAAUAUUAUUAUUUAUUUUAAAAAUAAUAGUACUAUAUUUAUUUAAUAAUAAUAAUAAAUACUUUAUUCUAAGAAAAUAUUAAUUUUGUACUAAAUAAUAUUAUAUUAUUAUUUUAUAUAAUAAUAAAUUUAAUAUAAUUAUAUUAAAUAAAAUAAAAUAACAUUUCAUUUUAUAUUAAAAUUACAAUUAAUAAUUUAUUGUUCAUAAUUAAGAAUAUUAAUAAUUAUAAUAAAUUUACAAAUAUAAUAAAAUAAAUAUUAUUCAUUAAAUAUAUUUUUUAUUAGUUUUGUAAUUAAAAAUUAUAAUUCUUUAAAUAAGGAUAAAAUUGUAAUUUGAAACUAUUUACUUCCAAUCCAAGACAAAGUAAACACAUAAAUUGAAUUCUGAUCUCCAUUCCAUGCUUCCAUUCUAGUGUAAGUAAACAACCUACUCCCACUCCCACUCCACACUCCCAAUCCUAGGAUUCCCACUCCCUAGGAUUCCCAAUCCAAUCCAAAAAGUAAACGCUACCUAAAAACCGUCGUUGAUUACAAUUACAAAUUUACCCCCAUAACUGACAGUCAUUGAUUGCUUCUUUCCCAAGAAACCUUUGGAUAUAUAUUUUAUAACAAUCGGCUAUCACUUUCUUCUUCCAUGUACAAUAUCUCAGUAGGCUGCACUGAUGUUACGGUUGGGUGCUAUUUUGCACAGGAUUAAGAAAACCCAAUUUAGUCAUGCAAACUUAUUGGGAGCUUCCCGGCUGUCAACAACAACAACACGAGACCAAACAACAAGUGCUUUUUGGGGUUCAACGGAAAAGAUCUCCCCAGUCGGACUGUCGGAAGCCCGGCAGUCUGGGUGUUUGAGGAGCUCGAUGAAAUGGCUAAAAUGGGAGAAGACGUAGGCAAAGAUGACAUUGAGUUCAAUAUGGAUCUGUUGCUAAACAAAGCAUGUUACUUGGAUGCUCUCGAGGUAUUUAUUAAAUCAUCAGAUUUCAUUUUUUUUUUUUUUUCCAUUUGGGUUAUCAAUUGCAUCAGUCUUUACUUCUCUGUGUUUUAAUGAUUUUGCAUUAUGGAAUUGGAAUCAAAUGUUAUUUUAUAUAUUUUCACCUUUUAUAAACAUAACCGAAAUCAGCUGAUAUUAAAUUGGGUGCUUGGUGUAUUUUUCAAAGGAUCCUUCAAACACGACAUCAUUUCACAGCACGCACAGAUGUGUGAUUUUAGUUGUAAUAUUUUAUUGCUUUUGUUUUCUAAGACUUGCUCGUUAUCUUGGGUACCUAUAUUAAUCAAGAAAAUUGACUGGCUGGUAAAAUAGUUUUGAUGUUCUGCCAAAUUUAGCUUCCUUGAAAGCAUAAGAAAUUUGAGCUAUUAUUGAUAAUUGAUUUUUUUUUUUAAUUAUCUUGUUGCAAAACUUGUUUGGUAUUGUUUGUCAGUUUAGCAUGCUUUUGUCGUCGCAUUUUAUUUUUUGCAAUCCUUUUAUUAUAAUCUCUCUUUUCUCCAGAUACCGAUGUGGAACAAAAGAUACUUUGAACUUACAACUGGUGAUAUUGCUGUUCGACUGGUUUUGAUUUUCCAUUAUAAGGGAAUAGAAGAGCAGAAAUUUUUUUCAGUAACAUUCCAGAAAACUUAAGGGCUCUCGAGGUUUAUAUUGCUUUGCUUUAUUGCUAUGCCAAACUAGAUUCUGUGUACAAAUCAGAGUCUGUGAAGAAAGCGGAAGCCAUCAUGCAGACAUUAAGGGAUUUGGGGUUAGACAGGGAAACAAUGGCUUACGAUUGUAUGCUUAAUCUUUACUAUCAGACUGGAAAACUUGAGAAAAUUGAAGUAUGGUGCUGGAAAUUGAAGAAAAGGGUAUUGGUUACAACGAUUAUACAUUCUACAUCCGUCUGAGUGCAUAUGCAGCUGUUUCUGAUUGCAAGGGAAUUAAGAAGAUGGUGACAAUGAUGGAAUCGGAUCCCAAUUUUGUUGUAGACUUGUCAGUUUAUGCUAUUGCAGCAAGUGGGUAUGCAAGAGCUGGGCUUCUGGACAAGACUCAUGCAAUGCUAAAGAAAUGUGAGGGACUGGCAACGGGUGGACAAGACAGAUACCCACCGUAUGAUUUUCUUAUCUCAAAGUAUGCGGAAUUUGGGAAUAAAGACGAUGUUUUAAGAGUUUGGGAAUUCUGCAAAAAGAACUCGAGCGGUUGGAAGGUGGCAGGCUCCGUCAUUCCUUCUGUGCUGAAAUUUGACGACCUGGAAAUUUCUGAGACGAUUUUGGAGGAAGUGAAUUGGCCCAAGGGGAAUCCACAUUAUUGUAUCCAUGUUAUAAAUCCCUUGAUUGCUGCAUAUUGCAGAAAAGGUCUUUUAGGGAAGGCUGAAGCUAUUAUCAACAAUGCACAAUCAAGGGGGCUGAACCCUGAUGUGAGGACGUGGUAUCUUAUGGCAACGGGGUAUCUUCAGAAUGAUCAAACAGAAAAGGCAAUGGAAGCGAUGAAGAAAUCAAUUUGUGAAACUGGAAUCGGGUGGAUUCCAUCUAAGGAAUGUUUGGCCGUGUUUCUGAAAUGGUUUGAAGCUGGAAAAGAUACUGAGGAGGCAGAGCAUUUGGCAAACUUAGAAGGGGACUUUUUUGUUAGUUUGGAUCUUUCUUACGAUUUGUUGAAUUAUUUUCAACAUGGCUACGUAGACAAAAUACCCCUGGAGUUCCUGGUUUCGUCGUGGUAAAUAAUACUCCAAUCUUUUAAAUUGACUUUGGAAUUGGGAAUCUUCCCUACAAGUGUGAUUGAUUUUGUUGCCUCUGCAUACAUUUGAAAAAUCUUAAAUAUUGUGGUUUUUCGCUUCCUAUAAGUUUCGGUUGAGAUUUUUAAAAUGGUUGAACUGCUAAAAACAGCUUAAUAAUUAUUUUACAUAAGUACCACAUUGGCCCUUGGCCAUCAACAAUGCUAUCGACAAAAACGGAUUCAUAACUCUAUGUUUCCACGUCAGCGUGGUUGCAAAAGUAACGUGUAUUUUGUAGUUUGAUUAUGUCCAACUUGGGGAUAACAAAACUCAGCCAUUUGAUCGGUGGCUUUAUAUGAACGGUCAAAAUUUUGAAACCAAAUAUCUUCUUUGUGGUCGAAGGCCAGUCGAACAUCGUACGUUACUGGGAGGACGGUGAGAUAUUUUGCAUCCAACGGUCAGCAAAUACGCUCCUAGACACUUUUACUCUUAUCUGAACGGCAGAAAUUUUGAUAGAAAUAACGAAAUUUAAAGGGGGACCCUGACUUUUUUUUUUUUACGAGAGGACCUGACUUUUUAAAAUAAUUUAAAUUUAUUUUUGUUUCAUCUUGACUGAGGACUCAUUUAAGAUUACUAUUAAGACUUCAAAGUAAUUUAAGAAGUAAAAACUUAAUUUUGGUAAUUUUCUUUUUGAAAUCACUCGUGACAAAAUUUGAUUUUGAGCAUCAAAUAAAAUUUAAAUUUUAAUAUGCAUAAUUAAUUUUGGUAAUUUACUAUAUCGUUACAUAUUUUACAUAAGACCAACAUUAUCCUUAAUUAAUUAACAAAUAAAAUCAGAAAGUUUAAGAUUAUUAUCAUUUUGAUUUUUUUUCAUGCACGCUCUUUAUCCCAAUUCUUUUUCUCUCUAUUUUCCAUUCCAUCAAUAAUUCUCUAAUAGUGCAAAUAUCAUUGUUUCAAGAUAGGGUUAAUAUGUGUUUUUUAAUAUUUAAUAAAAUUUAAGGUGAAUUAUAUAUAUUCCAAUCUAGAAUCCUAGAUUUGUUAAAGUCUGGAAAUACUAUUAAGCCAUAUAGUUUAAUAGUGUAUGAUAUAAUACUAUUAAAGCAUAUAUCUUAAUAACUUUUUGGUACUUUAAUAAAGUAUAGAAUCCUGGACUAUUUGUUGAAGUAAAUUUCACUUAACAUUAUGUCUAUUUUAGUCACUUGUACUCUAACAAUAAUUUAAUAAUAAGAUUUAAUAUGUAUAAUUAAUUUUAAUACUCCCAACACUUUUAGAAAUAAAAUUUACUGAACAUUUAGUUGAUUUUGUUCACAAUUGAUUAGGUCCACUACAAAUCUAAUAGAAAUUAUUUUAAAAGCUACAACAUUACAAAACUAGUCCUAAAUUUCGUUGUUAAAUAUAUUAGUACGACAAGUCCACAAGGGCAUUUUAGUCAAACUCAAAUGAACCAUCUUCUUAUAUUAUCAAUAUGACAUGCGCUAGGAGUUUAAGCAUACCAUUCUUAGUGUUAACUACUCAAAGGGAAAUCUACAUUAAGGUAACUACUAAGUUACAUUAUAUGUAAUUUGUAGUUGACCUAAAAGUAGUGUCCUAUAACCUUAGUUGUGUGACAAGUAACAAUUGAGUCAUAAAAAUUAAAAAAAAAAAAAAAAUUUGGUCGAUAUACGUUACAUAUGAUAUAACUUAGCAAGACCCGUUAUAUAUAUUUACCGUAUAUUUACGCAACGGAAUAUUUUUUUAGGUGAUCGAUGUUUGUUGAUAUACAUUGUCAAUGCGGCUUCAUCUUUGGAUUCUUCUUGGAGAACUAAAGCCUGAGAGAAUCCCUAGCUGAAAAUAACAAGAGAAGAUCCGCAAAUAAGGGAGAGAGUUUUAGCCAAGAUUGCGGACUCAGUUGAUGAUAAUGAUGAUCUUUAUGAGAAAUUAAAAGUUGAGGCUUAAUGGCUUAUUGAUAAUUUGAUAUCUUUUAUAGGUUAAUAUGAUGUUUCUAGCUAUGCAAGCAUUUGUAUGAAGUUGGAUUUUUAUAUUCAUAUACUUUGAUACGAUAUUUAGUUAAUUGGUACUUCUUUAAUAAUGUAAAUUUUACUUUACCUUAUUCAGUUUUCAUAUACUUUAAGAUGAUAUUUAGUUAAGGGAGAUUAUCAAUUUCCCCACUACUGUAAUUAAUAUAUACAAUUUAUUUCCCUGUUGUAUUUAUAAUAACUAGUAACUCCCAUAACAACAUAAGUUUACAAUAUUACGUCUAUUUUAAAAUAUACUUUUAUUUAUAUUUAUUAUAAAUUAAAUAAAUGAUAUGAAUAGAAAAUAAAUAAAAAAAUUAAAUAUUAAAAACAAGAAAUAUAUGCUUUGAUGUGAACAAAAAAAUUAAUAAUAAAAUUUUUUCUUGUACUUUUUUAUUUUGUAAAUAUUUUCUUAUAAUAAAUAUUUUAUAAUAUUUUAAAAUUAAAUAUAAAAAAGUAUCGGAAAAUAUUUUAUUAUUUAUUUUAUAAUAAUAAUUUAUUAAUUAUUCAAGUUUUCUUAUAACAAUUUUUUUUAUCAUUUUAUAAUAAUUUUCUUAUAUAUUUAUUAUAAGAAAAUGUUUAUAAAAUAAAAAAAAAGUAUAAGAAAAAUAUUUUAUUAUUAAUUUUUUUCACAUGAAAACAUAUAUUUCUUAUUUUUUAAACUUAAUUUUUUUAUUUUAAUUUCCAUUCACAUGAUUUAUUUAAUCUAUAAUAAAUAUGAAUAAAAGUGUAUUUAAAAACAAGGGUAAUAUUGUAAACUUAUAUUGUUGAGGGAUUAUUGGCUAUUAUAAAAAUAUGAGGGCGCAAAUCAUAAAUAUUAAUUACAGUAGGGGAGGAAUUGACAAUCUUCCUUUAGUUAAUUAAGGGGUGGGGAUAUUUCCACCCAAUUAUUUGCCUAAACCCCCUUCACUUCUACAAAAUAUUUGCAAUAAAUACACAUUUUUUUUCUAAUAAAUACAAAUCAACAAAAAAAUAUAUAUAAUUAAUCAAUUAAAUCAUUCUUAUAUUUUUUUACUUAGUUUUUUAAAACUAUUAAAGUAAGUAAAAAAAUAUAAUAUAAGUUCCAUUUAAUUAUUUUGCUUUAUGACAUAAAAUGACCCACUUGUCCAAAAAAAUAUGUGUUCUUGUAUCUAAUACUUUAGGUACUUAGUUUUUUGACUUUUAAUCUAACUUCUUGUUAGAGUGCAAUUUAUGCACUAGUUUUGCAUUGUUUACUUCCUUUAAUAUCGAUGUUUUGCACUUAAUAAUAGUGAUUUACUUGUAUUUUAUUUUUGUAGGUGCAAUUAUAUUGAUUGGUGCUAAAAUUGAGCUACAAGAUGAUGUUUGGGGAUGAUUGUUUUCCUGGAGAAAUUAUGAGCUUCAGAAGAACUUUGUUGAUAAGGUGUGGGGGUGUGCUGUCAACUACGGACCUGCAGUUUUUAGUUUAACGUGUUUUGUCUUUUUGGUUAAUUUUGUACUUUUGAAUUUAAUAUUUAGAUAAUAUUUUAGAUGUUAGUAUUUUAUUUUUAGAAAAACUCUAUAAGAGGAAGGAGACGUGAAAAACAAGAGAGGAGGGGACUUUGGAAAGAGGAAGAAGAAAGAAACCCUAGAUCUAAAUUUUUCUCUUCUCUCUAUGAAGAACUAAACCUAUUAUUCUGGUUGAAGGUUAAUGAAGCUUUGAUUCAUCAUUAUUGUGAGAUCUUUCUUAUGCUUUAAUUGUUUUAUUACUUUUUGGGUAUUUGUUUAUUCUCAAAAUUAUUGUCAUGAUUAUGUUUGUUAAUUAGAUAAUAUGCCACUAUUUAAUUAUCAACUUAAUAUAUUGUCAAUUAUAGGAUUCAUCGUAUGAAGAUUUCAAUGUUUGUGACAAAUAACAUAGCAGUGCGUUGUGUUAUGAGAAUAAACAAUCUAAUUUAAAUGAACCAUCGUAUGCGUUUGUUGAUUAGGAUUUGGGUCUCUCUGGUUUUUCAGGCUGUAAAUUGAUUAAAUCCUAUGAUCGUAUCUAGGGUUAUCUAUUGAUUAGGGAAAUAACCAAUGGUCGUACCUUGGUUAUCGACUAGUUAAGGAGAGAUUGGCUAUUAGAGGGUCUCAGUAGCUACAACCGGUCUAUUCAUAAGUAGUAAUGAUUUAUAUUUGAAUCAAUGAUCAGUAGUCGAAUCAAGCUGAGUUAAUUCCUUCAACCAGAGCUUUUCCCAAUUUGAAUUACAAUUUUAAUUUGCAUUCUUGUUAUUUUUAUUUGAUUUUUAUUAUUGUCAACAAUCCCCCCAUUUUGCAAUUUACAUUUUAAAAAGGAUUUAAAUAAUUACCGAUCUCUGUGGACACGACUCUUCUCAAUCCCUAUACACAAUUUAUUUAGAGUAGGUAUUUAUUUUUACUAGCUUCGACAACCAUCACUUCUUAAAUGACGUCUAAUAAUUUUCAAUAUUUUACAUGUAAAUGACAUAAAUUUGACAGGCUAAUAAUUUAAUGAGAAUUUUCUCAUAAGAACAUUAUGUUAGUUUAAUUAAAAAUUAAUAAUCAUAUUAAUAAAGUAAAAUUAACUAUUUAGAAACAAUGAAUUUUGUAUGAAAUUAAGAAAUUGUUGAAGCUAAAUUAAAUUUUUGGUAUUUUUACCCUUUAAGCGUAAAAUAGUCAAUUUAAAUUUAGGUUAAAGCAGUCUUAUUAGUCAAAUAUAAUAAAAAAAUCUAAGUCACAACAAAAUAAAUUUAAAUAGAUUUAAUUAAUUAAUUCUUCUGAAUUCUUUUUUAUUUGAAAUUUUUAAAAAUAAUGAGAAUUUUUUGUAAUUAUUUUUUAAAAGUGGGGUGGAUUUGCAGAAUUUGUGGGGUGGAAAUAUCACCACCCUUAAUUAAAUACUUCUUUAAUAAUAUAAAUUUCACUUUACCUCAUUCAAUUUUGUUCUCCUAAAGAUAGGUUUUUAUUCUCAUAUUUGAAGUAAAAAUUUAAUUUUUCGAGAAACCUCGAUAGAGAGGGCAAUUUUUUCGGAUAUAAAAGAAACAGUUGCAUCAAUUCAGGAGAGCACAUAGUGAGGCUUACCUCUUCAAAACUGAAAUAAUCUCUAACUUGAAAGACCAUCUAACUUCUUUGGAAGGAUGUUUGUACCUUUGAAGGCACCACAUGCCAUCCAGUAAACCUGGAGUACUCAUGAUCAAGAUUUGCUGGAUGAUCCAUAACACCCUUUUGUUAUCUAAAAGUACAACAGAAAAGGAAAUUCAUUGCCUUUAGAAAGAUGGCGACAAUUAAGCCAUCUAUUUCGAAUACCAUUUUAUUAAUGAAGAUAUUAUGAAUAUCUUGAUAAUAGUAUAAAGUUCAAAUCGCUCAAAACGGUUUAAACCGGUAGAGUGGGGCUCGUUAAAGCUAUUUUCCGCAGUCCUUUGCUCUAUAGCAUCUAGAUUUAUUUAUGGCCUAAAUCUUUGAUCAAACAGCUUCAUACCUGGUCUCGGAAAUUCAUUUCUUGUGAUUACAGUUCUCGGAAGAUAGCGUUAGUUCAUUGCGAUCAGUUUUGUUUGUUAAAGGCAGUGGGUGGUCUUGGACUUCGUCGUCUAGAUAUUUUAAAUAGAUCAUGCAUGCCUGUAAAAGAUUUUAUGCAAUGUUAAAAAUCAUUCUUCUAUGUAUGCUGACUAUCUUAAAGCUUGUUACAAACUUAUUAUACACCAAUCGGUUUUUUGUUAAUUCCUCUUAAUAGGCUGGUCUCUUAAAGUGUUAUUGCUGAUGGCUUCUUUAUUCAUUUUUUGGAUUGACAGAUGGUUGUCGGAUCCUCUUCCUCCUAUUAGUUAAAGCUUGUUACAAACUUAUUAUACAGCCAAUCGGUUUUUUGUUAAUUCCUCUUAAUAGGCUGGUCUCUUAAAGUGUUGUUGCUGAUGGCUUCUUUAUUCAUUUUUUGGAUUGACAGAUGGUUGUCGGAUCCUCUUCCUCCUAUUAGUUAUUUUAUUGACCUUGCUUUGUCUUGUACUAAAGUCUCCAGAUUAAUGAUUUAUGGGAGUUUAUUUUUCAAUAUCAGAUUAAUUAGUCCUCAACUUUAUAAUAUUUGGGUCACCACCAGUUAUUACCUGCUUUAUUUGAUUUGGAAAGACAGAAAUAAGCUGAGAUUUGAGAAUGUCUAUCCUUCUGUAGAUCGUUUUACGGCCAAAUGUUCUGCCCGUAUUAUUAUUUUGCUAAACUUUGCCCAGGUUAUGUUGGUUAUGCCAUAUUAUUAUUCUGCCAAACUUUAUCGAGGCUGUUGAAAGUCAAAUAAUCGCUCGCCAAUUUCAAAAAGCAAAAUCGGCGGCAUGUUUUUGUUGACAUAUGCAUGGAGAAAAAUGUGGUGGUUUUUCUAGAUGCCGCUUGAAUUUGUCAAAAUUGUUGAUUUUGGUUGCCGUUUUUCAAAGCUUUUGGGGACAAAGGAAUUAAAUGCAUGCAUGAUCUUUGGCUAUAAAUACCAAGCCAUUUGUUCAUUUGAAGGCAUCCACAUUUUGAGAGCAAUUGCAAGUAAAUCAAUUUGAGAGAUUUGAGAGAUUUGAGAGAGCUAUUACUUAAGUGUUCUAGUGAGGAUCCAAAUGGGUGUAUUGAGGUUUCCGGCUUCGAGAGCUUUUUUCUCAAUUUUGUAAAUUCCCAUUUAUUACUGAAAUUAGCUUUAAUCUUUGCCCGUGAAUGUAGAUUUUAUGCCGAACCACAUAAAUUAUUGUAUUUAAUUUAUUUUUUUGCAUUUUCUUAUUACCAUAUUUAUAUUUCUGCAGAAGUCACAGUCACCAUAAUAUUGAUAAUUGCUCAACCCGCGCUUCCGCAAAAAUUGGUAUUAGAGCCAAAGGUUCAUACUUGGGGUAUACUACACUGUUCACGUAAAUAGUAUUAUUUGUAGAUAUGGUACUAUUCACGCAUACGAUGGAGACGACGAUUUGUACUUGGGAGACAGUCUAUUUAUGAAUAGCUACUGACGGCAUUGGUCAUUUAGGUUAAGAAAGAUGAUAGAGACAUCAUUGUUGUCUUCAUCAGCGAUGACUACUGUGACUAAUGCAAAGUUUGAAGUGGACAAAUUCAAUAGUACUAAUAAUUUUGGUAUGCAGCAAUAUGAGGUGAUGGAUCUCUUAUGUUAGAAAGAGUUGGAGCUUACUCUUAAAGAAAAGACUGAGAAGAUAAAUCACAAGGAGUGGACAAAAAUCAAUAGAUAGUGGACAAAAAUCAAUAGAUAGGUAUGUGGUACUAUUCACUUAUGUCUAGUUAAAGAUCAUAAAUACUUUGUCAUGAGUGAGACAUCAGUAAAGAAAUUGUGGGAAAACAUUGGAAGAAAAAUAUAUAAAGAAAAGCCAUGAAAACAUGCUUUAUAUGAAGAAAAAACUCUCAAAACCAAAAACCUAAUACACCGAAUUGGAUCCUCACUUGAACAUUCAAGUAUAAACUCUCUCAAAUGUCUAAUAUUGCUUCACUUGUAGUUUAUCUCAAAAUGUGGAUGCCUUCAAAUGAACAAAUGUUUGUCAAAAUGGUCUUUAGCGAUAAAUACCAAGCCAUUUGGUCAUUUGAAGGCAUUCACAUUUUGAGAGCAAUUGCAAGUAAAGUAAUUUGAGAGAUUUGAAAGAGUUUCAACCUACGUGUUCUAGUCAAGAUCUAAUUGGGUGUAUUGGGAUUUUGAGUUUUGAGAUUUUUUUUUUCUAAUUUUGUUAAUUCGCAUUUAUUAGCUCAUGAAAUUAUCUUCUAGUCUUUGCUCUUGGACGUAGGCUUUACGUCAAAACAAGUAAAUUAUUGUGUUCAAAUUUUUCUUUUUAUUUGUUUAUUACCACAUUUAUAUUUAUAUAAAAGUUGCAAUCACCGUAAUGUUGAUAAUUGCUAAACCUGCACUUCCCUAACAGAGGUUAUGAUAGUUAUGGGUGGAACAUGAACAAAUUUUUGCUUAGUACAAGAUUAGAUCAUGAGAAAAUCUUAUAUAGGACAUACAUAUCCUCAAGUUCCUUAGCAUCCCAUCUUAUAUAGGACAUAGAUAAGAUCAUGAGAAAAUCUUAUAUAAGAAAAAUGUUAAACAAACUGAACGUUCACAGAAGAAUCACAGAUUUAAUUAACAAAGUAAUCCUGCACAGUUUUAUAGUUAAUUUGGUCAUCAUUUAAUAUCAGUGCUCUGAAGGGAAUUAAGAAAACACUAAGUUAAAGUAGAAAACAAAGGCAGUAGAAAGUGAUGAGUGCUACAUCCAAAACGUCACCAACGAUUAUGAUAAAAGCAUCAGGGAGGAGUUUAACGAGAACCCAAUUUCCAUCUUUCUUUAUUUGGAGGCCAUCCAUCUCAUUGAUUUGGAGGAGGAUGGUGAGUGCAGAGGCAUCAGAAUGAGAAUUCAAGCCAAUAACUUGCUCUGGUUGUUGACAAGGAGGGUCAUAAUUCAUCCUUAUUGAUUGCACACCAUUUCAAACAACUCUUUCAUCUCAUUGGGAUCCAUUCUUAGAGCUUUUUCCAUUUGGUCAAGCAUUUUCAGGGUAAGAUUUUUCACUUCCGUUAAGUAAACUUCCAAGGUAUCUCUAGCAAUGCAGCACUAUUGUAGUAUUGUUAGAUGGACGAAACGUUGCAUCAAUAAUUGGUGUGUUGUGUGGCUAAAAAUGAAAAAAGAAAAAUUGAGAGGCAGAGAAAACCUGAAUGGGAGAGGCAAUUUGGGGAACAGGUGGGGUCUUCUCGAAUGAAUUGGGAGAGUGAAUAUGGUAAAGCCGUAUCCCCAAUCAAGUUUCUGCUCCUCAGAAGCAAUGAAGAGCUGCCCAAAUCCCUCAAUAUCACCAGGUCGAUGCCAGUACUUGUUCUUUUCCUCAAUUGGAAGAUCAAAGAAGUCUUGGGUCUCAGCUUUCAUUUUCUCCACCAGUGAACUGCUCACUCCAUGAUUCACCAGCUACAUGCAAAUUAUUCAAAGCACGAUGUUGUUGUCAUAUAUGUUCCACAGAAAUUAAUUUGAAGUCAGAAAAACAUGAAGAAAUACUCAUUUAAUUCCCAUAAUUUGAGCUAAUCAUCUAGUCAGUCGAUUUCCUUUCAAAACAACAAUAAUAUGUUCACAAAAAAUAGUAUAAAAAUGGUACGUCAUACUAGAAAACCAAAAAAAAAAAAAAAUAACUAUAGGAUGAAAAAAAUUAUUACAAGACAAGAAAUUUUUUUUUAAUCUUUUGUAGUUUUUAUACUAAUUUUUGUAUUAUUUUCGAUACAUAUUUCAUUAUUUUUUCAAAAAGAUUACUUAAAACAUAUUUUUGUAGCGAUUGGAUCCGAUUUUUUAAGGAUAAAAUAAUAUUUACAUAAUUUCAAAUAAUUAAAAUUCAAAUUAAUUCAACAUUUAGGAGGUGAAAAAAAAUGAUAAUUAAAUUGAUAUCAAUGAAUCAACAAAAAUACAAUAGAGGACGUUUUAGAUGAUUUUUUUUUUUUUUUUUUGUGUUGGGGAAAAUACAAGCACUACUUGGAUAAUUUGCUAAAAUUAUGGAAAAUGACAAUAAUUAACAAAGAAGAGUACGUAUACAUGAAAGAAACCCUAUUCUUUGCAUGCAAGGUCAAGCUUCUCAAGCUCUGAAUCAUCUCUAGAGAGCAAUUUCUGCAGGUCGAUGACUGUUAGGAAAUUAGUGGGUGAAGCUGACACGCAGCUAAAAUAAAAUUGGAAGAAACUAAAGAACAAGCACAAUAGAGGACACCAGAAAUUACGUGGUUCGGUUUUUAGCCUAUGUCCACUGGCGAAAACAGAAGGAAAAUAUUUUACUAGUAAAAAAGAGUUACACGUAUUGUGGUAUUUUGUCUCACUACCCAAAACCCGAAUACACCCAAAACUCUCAAAUCACAAAUCACUCAAGAGUUUGUUAAAACUCUUAAAAUACUCUCACUUUCUCUCUAAAGAAGAAGAAAUAAAAUGGAAAAUUUGGAUGCUCUAAGCCGAUGGGGAGCUCCCCCUUUUAUAGCCAAAAUUGGCUAUUAAAAUAAUAAUAUUUUUUUCUUUUCUUCCAUUUUGAUGUGCCAACCACCAUUUGCAGCAUUUUCUUCAUUCUUCUUUCUUCUUUGUCAAAAUUUCCCUUUUUUUUCCUUUCCUUGGGCGGCAUCUACUUGGACUUCAAUUUGGGUGGUCAUUUUGAAAAAUGUUAAUGGUGCCAAACCGCCCAACCAUGACUUUGACAUUCUCCCACUUGGAGAUUAAAUUGAGAAUCAAUCAAUCUCUACACUAUUCUUUCUACUUCGCCAUAAUCAUGUUACCUACGUUUCUGCUAGGCCACAAGAGGAUCUAAUCCAGACAAACUUAUCAGUAUUUAUUGGCUUGGUCAAAACAUCUGCUAGAUUCUCCUUCAUAUGGAUUUUUUGUAAAUCCACACUUCCGUCUUCCACUACUUCUCGAACGAAGUGAUACUGAACUCCUAUGUGUUUUGUCCUGGAAUGAAAGGCUAGAUUCCUUGCAAUGUGCAAGACACUCUGACUAUCACAAAACACAGAAAUUUUCUCUUGUUUGUGCCCGAGUUCCUCCAAUAACCUUUGUAUCCAGAUAGCUUCCUUGCAAGCUUGUGUAGCCGCCAUGUACUCUGCUUCUGUUGUAGAUAAUUCCUUAACUCUUUGCAGUUUUGAAACCCAGCUUACAGCUCCUCCCGUAAGUGUUGUUGUGCAAAUUUUAAUGUACUCGCAAGUGCACGAAUCUAUUGUAGUAUAGAUCAAUGGUGACGAGUGUCGAUCCCACGAGGAGGUGGAUUUUAAUUGUGUAUAGAAUUAAUUUUGUAAAUGGGGGAUUGAAUUUGUGGUGGAAAUGAUUUGGAAUAUGCUAAAACUUAAAUUAAAAUGGCGAGAAUAAAUUCUAAAAUUGGAAUUGAAAUGGCGAGAAUAAAUUGAAGAGAAUUCUAUUGAAAUGGUGUACUUGAGUAUCUGGAUCCGUAUCAACAUGCAUCAUGGGCUAAAUAUUCCUUAUUAAUACCAAUUAAAUCAUGAGGGGGGAAUCCACACCUCAUGAACCACGCUCUAAUCAAUAUGGUGCUAAGGGCUUAUCGUGCCAAAUAAUAAUAACCUUAUACUAGAGAGCCGGUGUAACCAAGGCGGUAUCUAGACAAGAUCAGUAUUAUUUGUCGACGAUAAGUCAAAUCAUCCACAAAAAUUAGAGGGGAAGAGAAAGUAAAUUUACCAAAUCAAGCCCAUGACACAUGUUGAGACUUCACCUUCAACCCAAGUUUGAAAGAAAAUUAGCCACUCAUAAUUGAACUAGGGGCAAAAUGGAAAUUUAUUAAAAUACGAAGAAAAUACAAGAUGGAGAGGGAAUUACAGAAAAUGGAUCCCAAAAAUGGAUUCAAAGAUAUCAAAUUAGGGGGGGGAGGCCCCCUUUUUAUAGAUACAUGGAGUAAAUCAUGGCCAUCGGAUUAAAAACAGUUUGGACGCUCAGGAUUGCGCCACGUCAUCAGUCAACAGUCCACGGUUUGACCACGUGGAUGAACAGUAACACGGUUUGACCCGGAUGAACAGUACGCGGUUUGGUUGAAAAUAAUCCUGUGUGAUGCAUGCACCGUACGCGAGAUUUUUCGUCCACUGAUAUGCUGCCACGUCACCAUCAACAGUACAUAAGAAUUUUAGUCCAACAGGAUCGUGACACCUCAUCAGUCAAUGCCACAUCAUCGGUCCGUCUAUGUGAACAGUGUCGUGAACAGUAACGUAGACAGUACCGUAUACGUGAAUAGUACCGUACAUGUGAAUAGUGCCAUUUUUCCUUUUAUGCUCCUCCUAAGGUUUUCGACCAUCCUGAGUUCAAAAGUGAUGUCCGUUUUGCCGUCUGAUCUCUCCUUUAUUGUGAAAUGACUAUACUGCCCCUAAAAUACAUAAAAUACUUAAUUAAAAUAACACACACGUAAUUACAUCAUAAGAAGGUUAAAUACAUAAAAGUAAGGGUUGUUAGUAAGACUUGAAAUGUAAAAUGACGGUUUUCUCCUUUAUAAAUAUGCAUUUUCUGACACUCAACACACCCUCCAACCAGCUUAUUGCUAGUCCCUAGCAAAUAAAGCGAAAACAAAAUUCAAAUUCAAUUUUUUUUUUUUUUUUUUUUUUUUUAGAAACACUCGUGUUUAUUCAAUCAGAUUAAUGAUAGCAAUCAAAUAAAAGUAUAAGCAUUAUCUCUAGUCUAAAGCAAUAUCACACCCACAUCAACCAUCCACAUGAAUUGGCCCAGUAGACUUUGUUAUAGCUACUUUCAAGAAUGACAUGUCAAACCCCAAAAUCUCACUGGAAGUAGUGACACUCUCAUAAUGAAUGGUAAUUGAGAGAAAAUAAUGAAAAAGUGAUAUCACAUGCUCUCACCAAGAUGAAAUAAAUAUGCCCUCAGCUUAGAAAUAAUACAAUCUCAAGUCAAAUAAAAAAAAUGUUAGUCAACCCAAUUUAUUUAUUUAUUUUUUUUAUAUGCACCACUACAUCUUUUUAGCCCAUAUAACUAGCUUCUACUUCAAACUAUAGUUCCCUAAAAUCAAGAAGGACUUUUAUUAGGACGUAACGUAGGCUAGGGAUAUGACUAACAAAGAAAGGAAAUAAGGAAAACAAAGUGUAUAUUUGAGAAAAAUGCAGAAAUAUUUUUUCUUUUUUUUGAAGUUGCAAGGUGGAUUUCACCUAUUAUUGUUAUUUUAUUAUUUUGAAACAACAACUUUUGUUUUUUUUUUGUUUUGUUUUGUUUUUUUUGUUUUUUUUUGUUUUUUUUGCUUUUAUUUGGCAUAACUUCACUGAACAACAUAAUUAUUUACAUUUUCUCAAACAUAAAUAGGUGAUGGAACUUAUAAGACAUCGGGUAAUACUCCAAAUCAGAGUGGGUCAAGAUGAUAAGUUGACAAAGAAAAUAUAUAUAUUUUUUUUAAAGGCUCAAAAGGGGUAACUAUGGAUAUUUAAUAACGGGGAUGGCUAGAAAGGCUCAAACGGAUCAAAGAUGGCCUUUCCAUCGUUUUUUAGGGCUCUAAAUAAUUAUCCAUAUCUACUAGUUAGAUGGGCCUCCCAAUGUAGCAACGCACAUUUUUUUCUUUUUUUUUUUCUUUUUUUUUUUAAUUUUACCAUUUUUUUUUUAUAGGGUUAACUCAAAAGAAAUCUAGAGAUCGUGUAUAAAAUAAUAAACUGCUAAGCUGUAUAGAAAAUGGGCAAAAGGGUUACUCUCCAAGAAAAUGAUAGGCUCAACAACUCACUUGGCACUUAUUUAUGACAUGUUCGAAUUCAAGCAACUCAUAUUUGUCUCCGACAUCAACAUGUAAAGUAGCAAACAUAGCGUAACAUCACUUAAGACCAAAGAUAAUACAAAUACUAAAAUUUGAAAUUAAUCAUGUUAUCCAAUGUUAAAACAAAAAACACAAUUUUUUUUUUUUUUUACACAACAUUCUACCCCCCAACCUAUUCUAAACAUGAAAGGAAAAUAUGCAUGCAGAAAUGUGAAAAUGAUGUAGAAAAAUUAAUUAGAAAAAUAAAUUUUUUGUUUUUUAACUAAGAAGAUGCGUUUCUAGAGGCACUACACUCCAUAUUCAGCCAUCUUCGACUCAAAAAUUUGAAAAUAUAUAUUUAUAAAGGAGAAAGAGGAAGAAAACGAUUUUGUUUUUGUUUUUUUUUUUUAAACGAUGAAGAUGCGUUUCUAGAGUAACUACACUCCAUAUUCAGCCAUCUUCAACAUAAAACGUUAGCAACAGUUAGUUUCUACAACAAAAAAUCAGUAAAAACUUAACCAAGAUUCCACAAUUGUCGACUAUUCCCUCCCCCAACCAGAACGAAACAUUGUCCUCAAUGUUUUAAAGGAAAGAAGUAGAGUUUAGAAGACAUCACCUGGGUGGUGCAACACAGAAGAAUAUAUUUACAGGCGGAGAGUUAAAUCUAAUUUGUACUUCUUACUGCGGCUACUGUUACCAUCAUUAUUUGGGCGCUCCAACACAAAGGUCCAGGGGUCUGGCUCCGGUUUAUAAGCUUGUAACAGAUCAAGUAGCUCAUUAGCAGUGUGAGCACAAAUAAAAAGUUUUUUUUACAUUAGAAGGAAUGAAAUAGUUUUUUAUUGCAUGGUUAAGAAAUGCGAUAAAGCCAUCAUAAAAGUUAUUGACAUUUAACAAACCGAUAGGUUUCUGGUGGAUGUGCAGAUGGGCCCAAGAUCCUAGUGUCAUAAGUGCCUCUAGUGUUGCAAGAUCUCCUGGAAGGAAAAUAAAAGCAUCAGCAUGAUUAAGCAUUUCAGUUAUUCUUUCUUGCAUACUUGAGACGACUAACUCUUCUCCAGUUGAUGAGUCAGACGAACUGCCCAAUGGUUUUAGGACUCUUGGGAUGAUGCCUAACACUUGACUUCCUCUGAUAAAAGCUGCUUCUGAGACCAUUUUUGAUAACCCUCGGUUACCUCCUCCAUACACCAAAUGUAAUUUUCUCGCUGCUAUGCUUCGACCAAGAUCUAUGGCUGCCUCAACGAACUCUUUAUGUUUGCCAUAUGUAAAUCCAGAAAGCACACAAAUGUUCUUGAAUUGUCUAUUGGGAGUAGCUGCCAUUGUGAUACUUCUCAAAAACAAUUUGUGAGUGCUUGACAAAAGAUAAAUCACAUUUAAGAAUCUUGGUGACAAUGGAUCACUGCUGUGAAUGAGGUAACAUAUCAGUGUCAAAUAACGCGUAAAGCACGUGGCUCGCGAGUCAAAAAGGAAACAGUAAAAAGGACAAAGCAAACAGUAAUAAAAUUAUUAAAGACAAUAAUGCAAACAAUAAAACAACAGUGAAAUGAAAUAAAAUAACAGUAAAGUAAAAGGAUAUUUACACGUAGUUGCGACUGUGGCUCACAUCUUCCUCUGGUUUUACGUCCAGAAACGGCUUGAACGCCCUCUAUGGGUCGAGGAUCGGCUUCCCAUCCAGUUUUCUUAUAAACUGACAAACAUGGUCGUUUAUAGUCAGAUUCCCGAGACUAUAUCGUGCAUGCUCUUUCUGGAAUAAUGGCUCAACACUCAACACAUAUCCACUGGGAUGCGUUUCAAGAGACAAAAGGAUAUCAUCCAAUUUGCACAUUUAACACUCAACACUCAACACAUAUCUUCCCUGUUAUCAGACACCAUUCCUAAAGAACAUGGGUUUCUAUCGCAACUCAUUCUAGCACACUUAUGACAAGCAAUAGAAAUUCUUCGAGCUCGUCGUUUUCUUGCAUAAUUUCCUUUACCACAACCAGGCAUGAAUGCAAUAAAUUUUGGAGGUAACUCACCUGCCGAUCGUACUUUAGCCUCGAUUAACCAACGGAUGUCAGCAGGUAUGUUAUUCUUCAUGAGCAAUCGCAUGCGUUCGGACCGGGCUUUAUAGAUUGUAAGGAGGGCAUUCUGAGGAAGUGAAGGGAAUCGCUUGUGAAGCUUCGCUAGAAUCUCGUUUCUGUCCAUACCUUCGCCUCAGAAUAUCAGUUAUUAUGGGAAACUGAAGUUAACCGACUUGAUUGUCAUGGAGUACCGUUAUCCGCCACUUCACCGGGGUAACAAACUAAAGCACACAAACAGAAAAAUAAAUUAAAACACACAAAGAAAAUUAAAAUUGUCCUUUUAUUGAAUUUACCUCAAGCUCCAACUGGAUGUCGUAAACACUUCUCUCAAUGUCUCUGAGUUGGCGUUCUAAACCCUCAACAUAGGCUACUAACUCUGGUGGUUGUAGAGCCCAAAUACGAUGUGUUUUACAAAAUUGAAUUUGCCAUUUGAGAUGAGUUUUGACACGUUGAAGUGGUUUAAGAAUGUUCAGGAGGAACGGUCUAAGUAAGGUACUCAUGAUUAAAAAUGAUAAGAGAAAACUUAAUAGUUUAAACAAACACACUUAUGCAAAAAUAAUUUCAAUUAGCAAAAGAAUAAUAAAAAGAAAGAAAGAAAAAUUAAAUCAACGAAAAGAAAAAACAAAUCAAUUCAAAUCUGGUGGGUCACUCAAAUUUAUUUCGGUGUCUUCUCCAUGUGGUUGGUAUUCUAGAUAUAGCUUUAAUAUUUGACCAUUAACUUUAAACGUGACACCGUUCUUUGGGUCCUUAAUUUCAAUUGCCCCAUGUGGAAAAACAGUAUGAACAAUAAAGGGACCAGACCAUCGAGAGCGUAACUUACCUGGGAAUAGGUGCAAGCGAGAAUUGAAUAAAAGCACUUUCUGACCUGGAGUGAACGAUUUUCUCAUAAUUUGCUUGUCGUGAAAGACUUUCAUUCGUUGCUUGUAAAUCUUGGCAUUUUCAUAUGCGUCAUUGCGAAUUUCUUCAAGUUCUACCAGUUGUAAUCUUCUCUCUGAGCUGGCUUGCUGCAUGUCAAAGUUGAAUUUCUUGAUGGCCCAAUAUGCACGAUGCUCGAGUUCCACAGGUAGGUGGCAAGCUUUUCCAUACACUAGCCUGUAGGGUGACAUCCCAAUCGGGGUCUUGAAAGCCGUUCUAUAUGCCCAUAAUGCAUCAUCAAGUCUUAAUGACCAAUAUUUUCUGUCUGGCCUCACUGUUUUUUCUAAUAUGUGCUUUAUUUCUCGAUUGGAGAUCUCAACUUGGCCACUAGUUUGCGGAUGAUACGGGGUCGCCACUUUGUGUGUGAUUGAAUAUUUUGUCAAAAGAGCUUUGAAUGCUUUGUUACAAAAGUGGGCACCACCAUCACUGAUUAUCGCUCGAGGGAAUCCAAAGCGUGAAACAAUGUUGCUUUUCAAAAAUCCUAUCACCACAUUGUGAUCAUUGGUUCUACAUGGAAUUGCUUCUACCCAUUUCGAGACGUAGUCAACACCAACCAAUAUGUAUUGAUGGCCAAAAGAAGGGGGAAAGGGUCCCAUGAAGUCGAUACCCCAUACGUAAAAAAUCUCAACCACUAAAAUUGGAUUUAGUGGCAUCAUGUUCCUUCGUGUAAUGCUCCCCAUUCGUUGACACCUAUCACAUGAAGAACAGAAAGUGUAAGCGUCUCGAAAUAUAGUUGGCCAAUAGAAACCACAUUGUAAAACUUUAGUCGCUGUUUUCUUAGCACUGAAAUGGCCUCCACAAGCUUGUUCAUGGCAGAAUGAAAGGAUAUUCUGAAUUUCAUUUUCAGGGACACAUCGUCUAACAAUUUGGUCUGCACAAUACUUGAACAAAUAUGGGUCAUCCCAAAAGAAAUUCUUUAUUUCCGCAAAGAAUUUAGCCUUGUCUUGAUUGGUCCAAUGCUCUGAAAGUUUACUUGUAACAAGAUAAUUAACUAUAUCAGCAUACCAAGGUAAUACUUCCACAUUCAUUAAUUGUUCAUCUAGAAAUGACUCAUUCAAUGGUAAUGGUUCCAUAAUUGUAUCAAAAUGGAGGCGAGAGAGAUGGUCAGCUACAACAUUCUCUGUGCUUUUCUUAUCUUUGAAUUCCAAGUCAAAUUCCUGCAAAAGUAACACCCAACGAAUUAGUCUAGCUUUUGCAUCUUUCUUUGUGAGAAGAUAUUUAAGAGCAGCAUGAUCUGUGAAUAUAAUUAUUUUACAACUAAUGAGAUAAGAUCAAAAUUUCUCUAAUGCAAACACUACUGCUAGCAUUUAUUUUUUAGUAGUUGAAUAGUUCAACUGUGCAUCACUCAAUGUCAUACUAGCAUAGUAAAUAAUAUGGGGAAUUCGAUCAACUCUUUGUCCUAAUACUGCUCCUACUGCAUAAUCAGAUGCAUCACACAUGAGCUCAAAUGGUAAGCUCCAGUUUGGGGCCUGAAUGAUGGGUGAUGAUGUCAACAACUGCUUUAAUUUUUCAAAUGCCACAAGACAUGAAUCAUUAAAGAUAAAAGGUACAUCCUUAGCAAGUAGAUUGCAUAAGGGUCUAGAAACUUUGCUAAAAUCUUUAAUGAAACGUCUAUAGAAACCAGCAUGCCCAAGGAAAGAUCUUACUUCUCUGACUGUUUUGGGUGGAGGAAGAUUAGAAAUGAGAUCCACCUUGGCUUUGUCAACCUCAAUACCUUUGCUUGAAAUGAUGUGACCGAGAACAAUACCUUGUUUUACCAUAAAAUGGCACUUCUCCCAAUUCAAGACUAAGUUCUUCUCGGUACAUCUCUGCAGAACUAGCGUUAGAUGAUGUAAACAUUGAUCAAACGAAUCACCAAAGACAGAAAAGUCAUCCAUAAAGACUUCAAGGAAUCGUUCAACCAUAUCAGAAAAAAUGCUUAACAUACAUCGUUGAAAUGUAGCAGGUGCAUUACAUAAUCCAAAUGGCAUUCUCCUAUAUGCAAAUGUGCCAAAAGGGCAAGUGAAAGUAGUUUUCUCUUGAUCUUUUGGUGCUAUGGGAAUCUGAUUAUAUCCUGAAUAGCCAUCUAGAAAGCAAUAAAAUUCAUGGCCUGCUAAUCUAUCAAGCAUUUGAUCAAUAAAUGGUAAAGGAAAAUGGUCUUUACGUGUGACAGAAUUCAACUUUCUAUAAUCAAUGCAUACACGCCAUCCUGUAGUUACUCUAGUUGGUAUUAAUUCAUUAUCAGCAUUGGUAACUACUGUGACUCCUGACUUUUUGGGGACAACUUGUACAGGACUGACCCAUGAACUAUCAGAAAUUGGGUAAAUGAUACCUGCGUCUAAUAGCUUAAGGACUUCUGUUCUAACAACUUCUUUCAUAUUAUGAUUUAAUCGACGUUGCAUUUCCCUAGUAGAUUUAGCAUUUUCAUCAAGGUGAAUGUAAUGCAUGCAAUCUGCAGGGUUUAUACCUUUUAUGUCCGCUAUGGUCCAUCCUAAUGCUCCUUUGUGCUUUUUUAAAACAUCCAACAACUUACCUUUUUGUUCGUCAUUGAGGGAUGAUGAGAUGAUUACCGGCAGAGAACUUUCUUCCCCCAAAAAUGCAUAUUCCAAAGUGUUGGGCAAUGGUUUGAGCUCGAGUUUCGGUGGUGAUUCUGAUGAUGGGAUGAGUUUCUUCUCUAAUGGUGCUAGUUGUUCAACUCUUGACUUCCAUUUAUUAGUGUCCAUGGAUGGUGCUGAGUCAAGUAGGGCGUUGACCUCAUCAACUGAUCUGUCAAUAUCAAAAUCAAAACCAAAGUGAGUUAAGCAUGCCUGUAAAGGAUCAUCACUAAGGUUUGAAAGAAAAGUAUUAUCAACUAUUGUUUCUAUUAAAUCCACAUCAACAAUUCCAUCAUCUGCACUGUGAGGUUGUUUGGCAAUGUUGAAAAUGUUUAGCUCCAUAGUCAUGUUGCCGAAGGACAACUGCAUAUUUUCGGUCCUGCAUUGAACAUGAGCAUCCACAGUUGCCAAGAAAGGUCGGCCUAGAAUAAUAGGGAUGUGCUUCCUUGAAUCAUGUAUUAGUUGAGUGUCAAUUACAAUGAAAUCAACAGGAAAAUAAAACUUGUCUACCUGGAUAAGCACGUCCUCCACAAUACCACGAGGUAUUUUCGUAGACCGAUCUGCAAGCUGUAACACCACUGGAGUUGGGUGUAAUUCUCCCAGUCCAAGUUUCACGAAUACAGAGUAAGGCAACAGAUUUACACUAGCUCCUAAAUCCAACAAAGCAUUCUCAAUUGUGUGGUUCCCUAUACUACAUGAGAUAGUGGGGGAGCCUGGGUCUUUGCAUUUUAAAGGAAUUUUAUGUUGGAGUAUAGAACUAACGUUUUCUGUUAAAAAUGUCUUCUUUUGAACAUGCAUAUUUCUCUUUUUAGUACAAAGGUCUUUAAGAAACUUGGCAUAAGAUGGAACUUGUUUAAUAGCAUCAAGCAAAGGGAUGUUGACACUUACCUGUUUGAAGAUUUCGAGAAUCUCACCUGUGGAUUUUCCUUUCUUUCCUUUCGCUAACCUCUGAGGAAAUAGAGCUUUGGGAACGUAUUCUCGUGGGUUGGUUUCUUCUUUUUCCUCCGGUGGUGAGUCUUCAACACUCACAGGUACAAUUUGAUUUUCUUUUGUCACCGGCAUCUCCUUUUUGUUGUCGACUUCUUUUCCUUUUCGCAAGGUCAUUACUGCUUUGACCUCUCCAUGCUGCUGUGGUGAACUUGUACUUGCUUCAUGUACUCCUUUAGGGUUAGUCACUGGUUGACUUGGAAAUUUACCUUUCUCAACAGUCAUUGCCAAGGUCUGAACUGAAGAAGCGAGUUGUCCCACCAUCUUCUCAAGGCUUGAAACUGAUUGGGCUUGUGAGUUGAAGCCUGCUCUCAACUCAUUUCGUAGUCCAUCAAUGGUGCGGUUCUGUUGCUCAAUCGUGGAGUGAGUAAGAUUCUUGAGAUUCUGGAAUGAAUCCUCCCAUGGUCUGGGUUGAGAGUAAUUCUGGUUCUGAUUGUAUGGUCUAAAUGGGGGCUGAGAGGCUUGAGGAUUUUAAGGAAUUGGUGGAGCUGGAGCUGCUGGUCCAUUUUGUUGGAAUCCUUGAGACCAUGAAAAAUUGGGGUGGUCUCUCCAUCCAGGGUUAUAUGUGUUGGAGUAAGGGUUGUAAUUCGAUGGUUUUCUCAUUACACCUAUGGCAUUGGCUUGAUCUGAGUAUGAGUCAUGGUCAUGUGGCUCUGUUGAUUUAGCAGUCGAUAACGAUGCUAUUUGUCGAGAGAGACCUUCAACCAUCUCCUUGGCUUCUUUGAUUCCCGAAGUUGACUCGCCAAUGUGAACCUCAUUCACUCCUUUAAUCCUUCUAGUAUUCCUGAGUGAUCGACUCCGUUGUUGGGAAUUGUCCGCUUGUCGCUGGAAAAACUCCCAAAUUUCUGAUGCACUUUUUGACAUUAGCUCUCCUCCACUUGUUGCCAUUAGCCAUUCUUGCACAUUCGGCAAUAAUCCCUCCAAAAAGUAUUGGCAUUGGUGCCAUUUCUCGUACCCAUGAUGUGGACACUUCAAGAGUAGUCCAUUGAAUCGCUCCCAAGUUUCGAAAAACUGCUCGUCCUCUCUUUGUGUAAACUCUGAAAUUUCCCUGCGAAUAGAAUUGGUUUUAUGCACUGGGAAAUAUUUAUUUAGAAAUUUUGUAACCAUUUGUUCCCAUGAUGCAAUGCUAUUAGCAGGCAAAGUAUUUAACCAUGAACGAGCUCUAUCCUUUAAAGAAAAUGGGAAUAAUCUAAGCUUUACAUCAUCAUCUGAAAAAUUCUCAUAUUUAAAAGUUUGACAAAUAGCAUGAAAAUCAUUCAGAUGAUUAUAUGGGUCCUCAUUUUCUAGGCCAUAAAAUGUGGGGAGACAAUUUAGCACACUAGGUUUUAAUUCAAAACUCCUAGCAGCUACAUUUGGGUAUCUUAUACAUGAUGUGCUCAAAUUAGCUAAGGGACUAAAAUAAUCCUUAAAUGGCCUCUCCUGUGGUGCUUGUAAAUCCAUUCCAAAUUUAUUAAUGUGCUUUUGUGUGCGAAGUAUUUUCUCAAGUUCAAGGUCUAUAGGUUCAAGAUUAGGUAAUAAUGACCUACGACCAUGCAUGCAAAACAAAUAAAAUAAAAAUAAAGAUGGGAACAAAACAAAUAAAAAUAAAGAAGAGGGAGAAAUUACGAUACUAACCUUAUUGCGCUAUUACAACCUUACUAUAAAAAUACACAAAAAUAAAUAUGUGAAAUAAAUUAACUAAAAAUUAAAUUAAUAAGAUAAACAAAAAUUACAAAGAAAAAUAAAUUAAAAAUUCAAUUACAGAAUUUUAAAGAAGAGAAAAAGAAAAGAAAUACUAACCUUUAAAUGUAGAUUCACUUUUUUUUUAAUAACAAAAAAAUUACACAAACAAUUAAAAGAAAUUAAUCACAAAAAUUAAUUCUACGAAUUAAAAUAACUUACCUCCCCGGCAACGGCACCAAAAAACUUGUUGUGCAAAUUUUAAUGUACUCGCAAGUGCACGAAUCUAUUGUAGUAUAGAUCAAUGGUGACGAGUGUCGAUCCCACGAGGAGGUGGAUUUUAAUUGUGUAUAGAAUUAAUUUUGUAAAUGGGGGAUUGAAUUUGUGGUGGAAAUGAUUUGGAAUAUGCUAAAACUUAAAUUAAAAUGGCGAGAAUAAAUUCUAAAAUUGGAAUUGAAAUGGCGAGAAUAAAUUGAAGAGAAUUCUAUUGAAAUGGUGUACUUGGGUAUCUGGAUCCGUAUCAACAUGCAUCAUGGGCUAAAUAUUCCUUAUUAAUACCAAUUAAAUCAUGAGGGGGGAAUCCACACCUCAUGAACCACGCUCUAAUCAAUAUGGUGCUAAGGGCUUAUCGUGCCAAAUAAUAAUAACCUUAUACUAGAGAGCCGGUGUAACCAAGGCGGUAUCUAGACAAGAUCAGUAUUAUUUGUCGACGAUAAGUCAAAUCAUCCACAAAAAUUAGAGGGGCAGAGAAAGUAAAUUUACCAAAUCAAGCCCAUGACACAUGUUGAGACUUCACCUUCAACCCAAGCUUGAAAGAAAAUUAGCCACUCAUAAUUGAACUAGGGGCAAAAUGGAAAUUUAUUAAAAUACGAAGAAAAUACAAGAUGGAGAGGGAAUUACAGAAAAUGGAUCCCAAAAAUGGAUUCAGAGAUAUCAAAUUAGGGGGGGAGGCCCCCUUUUUAUAGAUACAUGGAGUAAAUCAUGGCCAUCGGAUUAAAAACAGUUUAGACGCUCAGGAUUGCGCCACGUCAUCAGUCAACAGUCCACGGUUUGACCACGCGGAUGAACAGUAACACGGUUUGACCUGGAUGAACAGUACGCGGUUUGGUUGAAAAUAAUCCUGUCUGAUGCAUGCACCGUACGCGAGAUUUUUCGUCCACUGAUAUGCUGCCACGUCACCAUCAACAGUACAUAAGAAUUUUAGUCCAACAGGAUCGUGACACCUCAUCAGUCAAUGCCACAUCAUCGGUCAAUGCCACGUCAUCGAUCCGUCUAUGUGAACAGUGUCGUGAAUAGUAACGUAGAUAGUACCGUAUACGUGAAUAGUACUGUACACGUGAAUAGUGCCAUUUUUCCUUUUAUGCUCCUCCUAAGGUUUUCGACCAUCCUGAGUUCAAAAGUGAUGUUCGUUUUGCCGUCUGAUCUCUCCUUUAUUGUGAAAUGACUAUACUGCCCCUAAAAUACAUAAAAUACUUAAUUAAAAUAACACACACGUAAUUACAUCACAAGAAAGUUAAAUACAUAAAAGUAAGGGUUGUUAGUAAGACUUGAAAUGUAAAAUGAAGGUUUUCUCCUUUAUAAAUAUGCAUUUUCUAACACUCAACACACUCCCCAACCAGCUUAUUGCUAGUCCCUAGUGGUGAGUAUUCCCGCCUGUCACGCGGGUGACCCGGGUUCGAUCCCCGGCAACGGCGCCAAAAACUUGUUGUGCAAAUUUUAAUGUACUCGCAAGUGCACGAAUCUAUUGUAGUAUAGAUCAAUGGUGACGAGUGUCGAUCCCACGAGGAGGUGGAUUUUAAUUGUGUAUAGAAUUAAUUUUGUAAAUGGGGGAUUGAAUUUGUGGUGGAAAUGAUUUGGAAUAUGCUAAAACUUAAAUUAAAAUAGCGAGAAUAAAUUCUAAAAUUGGAAUUGAAAUGACGAGAAUAAAUUGAAGAGAAUUAUAUUGAAAUGAUGUACUUGGGUAUCUGGAUCCGUAUCAACAUGCAUCAUGGGCUAAAUAUUCCUUAUUAAUACCAAUUAAAUCAUGAGGGGGGAAUCCACACCUCAUGAACCACGCUCUAAUCAAUAUGGUGCUAAGGGCUUAUCGUGCCAAAUAAUAAUAACCUUAUACUAGAGAGCCGGUGUAACCAAGGCGGUAUUUAGACAAGAUCAGUAUUAUUUGUCGACGAUAAGUCAAAUCAUCCACAAAAAUUAGAGGGGCAGAGAAAGUAAAUUUACCAAAUCAAGCCCAUGACACAUGUUGAGACUUCACCUUCAACCCAAGCUUGAAAGAAAAUUAGCCACUCAUAAUUGAACUAGGGGCAAAAUGGAAAUUUAUUAAAAUACGAAGAAAAUACAAGAUGGAGAGGGAAUUACAUAAAAUGGAUCCCAAAAAUGGAUUCAGAGAUAUCAAAUUAGGGGGGGAGGCCCCCUUUUUAUAGAUACAUGGAGUAAAUCAUGGCCAUCGGAUUAAAAACAGUUUAGACGCUCAGGAUUGCGCCACGUCAUCAGUCAACAGUCCACGGUUUGACCACGCGGAUGAACAGUAACACGGUUUGACCUGGAUGAACAGUACGCGGUUUGGUUGAAAAUAAUCCUGUCUGAUGCAUGCACCGUACGCGAGAUUUUUCGUCCACUGAUAUGCUGCCACGUCACCAUCAACAGUACAUAAGAAUUUUAGUCCAACAGGAUCGUGACACCUCAUCAGUCAAUGCCACAUCAUCGGUCAAUGCCACGUCAUCGAUCCGUCUAUGUGAACAGUGUCGUGAAUAGUAACGUAGAUAGUACCGUAUACGUGAAUAGUACUGUACACGUGAAUAGUGCCAUUUUUCCUUUUAUGCUCCUCCUAAGGUUUUCGACCAUCCUGAGUUCAAAAGUGAUGUUCGUUUUGCCGUCUGAUCUCUCCUUUAUUGUGAAAUGACUAUACUGCCCCUAAAAUACAUAAAAUACUUAAUUAAAAUAACACACACGUAAUUACAUCACAAGAAGGUUAAAUACAUAAAAGUAAGGGUUGUUAGUAAGACUUGAAAUGUAAAAUGAAGGUUUUCUCCUUUAUAAAUAUGCAUUUUCUAACACUCAACACACUCCCCAACCAGCUUAUUGCUAGUCCCUAGUGGUGAGUAUUCCCGCCUGUCACGCGGGUGACCCGGGUUCGAUCCCCGGCAACGGCGCCAAAAACUUGUUGUGCAAAUUUUAAUGUACUCGCAAGUGCACGAAUCUAUUGUAGUAUAGAUCAAUGGUGACGAGUGUCGAUCCCACGAGGAGGUGGAUUUUAAUUGUGUAUAGAAUUAAUUUUGUAAAUGGGGGAUUGAAUUUGUGGUGGAAAUGAUUUGGAAUAUGCUAAAACUUAAAUUAAAAUAGCGAGAAUAAAUUCUAAAAUUGGAAUUGAAAUGACGAGAAUAAAUUGAAGAGAAUUAUAUUGAAAUGAUGUACUUGGGUAUCUGGAUCCGUAUCAACAUGCAUCAUGGGCUAAAUAUUCCUUAUUAAUACCAAUUAAAUCAUGAGGGGGGAAUCCACACCUCAUGAACCACGCUCUAAUCAAUAUGGUGCUAAGGGCUUAUCGUGCCAAAUAAUAAUAACCUUAUACUAGAGAGCCGGUGUAACCAAGGCGGUAUCUAGACAAGAUCAGUAUUAUUUGUCGACGAUAAGUCAAAUCAUCCACAAAAAUUAGAGGGGCAGAGAAAGUAAAUUUACCAAAUCAAGCCCAUGACACAUGUUGAGACUUCACCUUCAACCCAAGCUUGAAAGAAAAUUAGCCACUCAUAAUUGAACUAGGGGCAAAAUGGAAAUUUAUUAAAAUACGAAGAAAAUACAAGAUGGAGAGGGAAUUACAGAAAAUGGAUCCCAAAAAUGGAUUCAGAGAUAUCAAAUUAGGGGGGGAGGCCCCCUUUUUAUAGAUACAUGGAGUAAAUCAUGGCCAUCGGAUUAAAAACAGUUUAGACGCUCAGGAUUGCGCCACGUCAUCAGUCAACAGUCCACGGUUUGACCACGCGGAUGAACAGUAACACGGUUUGACCUGGAUGAACAGUACGCGGUUUGGUUGAAAAUAAUCCUGUCUGAUGCAUGCACCGUACGCGAGAUUUUUCGUCCACUGAUAUGCUGCCACGUCACCAUCAACAGUACAUAAGAAUUUUAGUCCAACAGGAUCGUGACACCUCAUCAGUCAAUGCCACAUCAUCGGUCCGUCUAUGUGAACAGUGUCGUGAAUAGUAACGUAGACAGUAUCGUAUACGUGAAUAGUACCGUACAUGUGAAUAGUGCCAUUUUUCCUUUUAUGCUCCUCCUAAGGUUUUCGACCAUCCUGAGUUCAAAAGUAAUGUCCGUUUUGCCGUCUGAUCUCUCCUUUAUUGUGAAAUGACUAUACUGCCCCUAAAAUACAUAAAAUACUUAAUUAAAAUAACACACACGUAAUUAUAUCACAAGAAGGUUAAAUACAUAAAAGUAAGGGUUGUUAGUAAGACUUGAAAUGUAAAAUGACGGUUUUCUCCUUUAUAAAUAUGCAUUUUCUAACACUCAACAAGUGUAAACACAUAGGCAGUAGUAGAUUUUCUUUUAUCAAGGUCUCCUGCAAAAUCUAAAUCCACAUAGCCCCUUACAGUAAACUCUGAUCCUCUUUAAUAUAAUGCAACAUCUGAGGUUCCUCUGAUGUAUCUCAGAAUCCUCUUCAUAACUAUCCAAUGCUCUCCACCAGGAUUCACCAUGUAUCGACUGACUGCUCCACUGCUUGUGCAAUGUCUGGUCUUGUACAAAUCAUAGCGAACAUUAAACUUCCCACUGCUGAUGCAUAUGGUACUCGAGACAUCUCAUUUCUCUCUGCUUCAUUGCUAGGACACAUACUUGAGGAUAAUUUGAAAUUAACAGGAAGUGGGGUAUAAAUUGGCUUACAAUCUUGCAUGUUGAAGCCCCGCAAGAUUUUCUUCAAGUAGUUCUUUUGAGAAAGCCAAAUCUUCCUGUUAUUUCUGUCUCGGUGAAUUUGCAUCCCUAGAAUCUUGUUUGCUGGUCCCAAGUUCUUCAUUUCAAACUCCCUAGCCAACUGUGCCUUCAAUUCUUGGAUUCGAUCUUUGUUGGAGCCUGCUACUAACAUAUCAUCCAUAUACAACAGUAAAAUAAUGAAAUCAUUAUCUUUAAACCUUUUGUAAUAUGCACAAUAGUCUUAACUGAGUCUAUUGUAUCCAAGGCUCACAAUGAAUGAAUCAAAUCUCUUAUACCAACAUCUCGGCGCCUGUUUGAGACCGUAUAGAGAUUUGUUCAACCUGCAAACCAAGUUUUCUUUUCCUGUUUCUGCAAAACCUCCUGGUUGGAGCAUAUAUAUUUCUUCUUCAAGUUCUCCAUGAAGAAAUGCAGUUUUCACAUCUAACUGCUCUAAAUCUAGGUCAAAUGUAGCACACAUUGCCAAGACUAUUCUGACUGUUGUGAGUCGAAUUAUCGGAGAAAAUAUCUCGUUGAAGUCAAUACCUUCUUUCUGAGCAUAUUCUUUCACCACCAAUCUUGUAUGAUAUCGCUCCACUUGGUCAUUGCCAUCACGCUUGAUCUUGUAGACCCAUUUAUUUUCAAUAACUUUUCUUCCACGUGGUAGUGGUAUAAGUUCCCAUGUCUUGUUCUUGUGUAGAGGCUCAAUUUCUUCCUGCAUUACUGUCAUCCAUAAAGCAACAUCUGUGUUGCUUAAAGUUUCAUGGAAAGUUGAUGGCUCUCCAUCCUCUGUUAGAAGACAGUAUGCAACAUUGAUCUAUGUGACAUACUCCGAGUGCCAUACUGGCGGUCGUCUCUCACGAGUUGACCGAUGAAAUUCUAGAGCCUCGGACUCGACUGGUUCUUAUUCCUUGUGCUCUAGUGCUGCUUCAGAAGAAUCUGAAUCUUCUGGAUGAUUUUCCACAUAUACCGGCACAGUCUCUGACUUUUCUUUUACAGUGCUAUCAUCCUCAUCUUUUCUUUGCAGUUGAUCUUCUACAAAGAUAACAUCUCUGCUGAUGACGAUCUUGUAGGCAGUGAGGUCCCACAGACGAUACCCUUUACUCUAUCAGCAUAUCCUAAGAAGAUAUACCUCCUAGAUUUUGGAUCCAGCUUUGCUCUUUCUUGGGCAUUGUACAUCACGUACACAUGACAUCCAAAUGCAUGUAGGUAGGAGUAAUCAGCUGGCUUUUCAGUCUACAUCUCCAUCGCUGUCUUCAGCCCAAUAGUUGUAGAUGGGUAGACCAGCAGUCCUCAACAUAGCUCUUAUUCGUUCUGUAAGAAUCCUAUUCAUCCGCUCUGCCACUCCAUUUUGUUGAGGAGUGUAUGCUACCGUGAACUGCCUCUGAAUACCUUCUUGCCUACAAAAAGCAAGAAACUCGCCGCUGUAUAGUCUCCACCAUUAUCCGUCCUCAAGCACUUGAUCUUUUUUCCGGAUUCAAGUUCCAUCCGCACUUUGUAUUCUUUAAACACUAGAAAUACAUAUGACUUUUUCCUAAUUAGAUACACCCAACAUCUCCUAGAAUAAUUAUCAAUGAAAGUCACCAUGUACUUUGCACCUCUCAUAGUCAUAUCCGGCGAUUCCCAAACAUCAUAAUGAAUCAAGUCUAGAAUGCGUUUACUUCUAGCAAUAGAUCUACUGAACUUUAAUAUAUGAUGCUUACUUGUAACACAAUGCUCGCAAAAUGGUAAACGUACCGAUUUAAGUCCUGGAAGCAAUUUUCGCUCAGAGAAAAUCUUCAAAUCUUGUUAUGACAUGUGGUCAAGUUUGAGAUGCCACAUCAUCGUUGACUCUUCUCCAUUUGAUGCAACACAUGCAUCAGCCUCCUGUAAUGUUUCUCCUUUAAGCAUGAAUAGAUUAACACCGAUUUUUUCUGCCUUCAUCAAUACAAGCGCGCCUUUAACGAUCUUCAUAAUUUUAUUCUCCACAUGAGUUUUGUACCCAUGACUAUCCAUUUGUCUCAAAGACAAUAGAUUUUUCUUC